This 623-nucleotide long non-coding RNA is filed under the name Pan troglodytes (chimpanzee). RNAcentral's name for it is "long non-coding RNA NONPTRT007750". Lineage: Eukaryota; Metazoa; Chordata; Mammalia; Primates; Hominidae. The record is from RNAcentral.
CCAGGGCCAGUCAAAUCCACCACAGUCUCGCGCUGAGCUAGGAAUAAAGUUCACGUAAUCACAUGAGAGUGGAGAAAAGUCCCCCAUCCGGCAGGAUGCUGAACGGGCUACAUUAAAAAACAAACCUCUCUCUCUAUAUAUUUAUAAAUGAGAACUGUUGGAUGACACCUUUGACAUAUCAGCCAAUAUCAAUCAAGCUGAAGACUCCAGACACUGUCUGUGUGACUGUAACAUUUCUUCAAGGAAAGUAUAGCGUCUAUGGAGUUCAGAGGGCACGUGUUUGGGGGAAAAUAUAUAUGACAUGAAGAAGAAGAUGAAGAAAAAUGAGAAAAAAACACACAAAAGGCAACUUUAAAACAAAAUAUCACGAGCAGACGGGGAGGCUGAAGGGCUGGGAGCUGGGAGGAGACGCUGCUUACCGAUCCCGGGGCUUUUCCAGCCCAUGGGCGCCUGACGCAGGCUGGGGCAAGUGGUGCGUGGGGCCUGGUCCCCAAGGGGCGGCUGAGAGGCCGCCACUGAGCAUCUCUAUCUGUCAUUCCUUUAGCUAUUUAGGGACCAAAGGACCAAACUUUUUAUUGCAGAUGUGUAGCUCUAUGUCAAAUAGAGGGGGAAUGGAGGACCCC